AGUGAACGCUGGCGGUAGGCCUAACACAUGCAAGUCGAACGGCAGCACAGUAAGAGCUUGCUCUUACGGGUGGCGAGUGGCGGACGGGUGAGGAAUACAUCGGAAUCUACUUUUUCGUGGGGGAUAACGUAGGGAAACUUACGCUAAUACCGCAUACGACCUACGGGUGAAAGCAGGGGAUCUUCGGACCUUGCGCGAUUGAAUGAGCCGAUGUCGGAUUAGCUAGUUUGCGGGGUAAAGCCCCACCAAGGCGACGAUCCGUAGCUGGUCUGAGAGGAUGAUCAGCCACACUGGAACUGAGACACGGUCCAGACUCCUACGGGAGGCAGCAGUGGGGAAUAUUGGACAAUGGGCGCAAGCCUGAUCCAGCCAUACCGCGUGGGUGAAGAAGGCCUUCGGGUUGUAAAGCCCUUUUGUUGGGAAAGAAAAGCAGCAGGUUAAUACCCCGCUGUUCUGACGGUACCCAAAGAAUAAGCACCGGCUAACUUCGUG
Molecule: ribosomal RNA, 492 nt
Filed under: uncultured bacterium
Lineage: Bacteria
Description: partial 16S ribosomal RNA
Rfam family: Bacterial small subunit ribosomal RNA
Source: RNAcentral